AUUGAACGCUGGCGGCAUGCUUUACACAUGCAAGUCGAACGGCAGCGAGGAGAAGCUUGCUUCUCUGUCGGCGAGUGGCGCACGGGUGAGUAUAGCAUCUGAACGUGCCAAGUAGUGGGGGAUAACCAAACGAAAGUUUGGCUAAUACCGCGUAAGCUCUAAGGAGGAAAGUAGGGGACUUAAAUAAGGCCUUACGCUAUUUUAUCGGCCGAUGUCGGAUUAGCUAGUUGGUGGGGUAAUGGCUCACCAAGGCAAUGAUCCGUAGCGGGUCUGAGAGGACGAUCCGCCACACUGGGACUGAGACACGGCCCAGACUCCUACGGGAGGCAGCAGUGGGGAAUUUUGGACAAUGGGGGAAACCCUGAUCCAGCCAUGCCGCGUGUAUGAAGAAGGCCUUAGGGUUGUAAAGUACUUUUGUUAGGGAAGAAAAGCUAGUUUUUAAUAAAAAUUAGUGAUGACGGUACCUAAAGAAUAAGCACCGGCUAACUACGUG
RNAcentral lists this ribosomal RNA (493 nucleotides) under uncultured bacterium. RNAcentral describes it as "partial 16S ribosomal RNA". It matches the Rfam family "Bacterial small subunit ribosomal RNA", at positions 30 to 507 of the family's 1533-position model. The record is from RNAcentral.